CCGAGUUUACAACUCCCAAACCCCUGUGAACCAUACCUGUCGUUGCUUCGGCGGCCACGCCCCGGCGCCGUCGUGCCCGGAACCAGGCGCCCGCCGGAGGCCCCAUAAACCAUGUUUACCACAGUGGCAUUAUCUGAGUGGCACAAGCAAAUAAAUCA
RNAcentral lists this unclassified non-coding RNA (158 nucleotides) under uncultured fungus. RNAcentral's name for it is "sequence contains ITS1, 5.8S rRNA gene". The record is from RNAcentral. Lineage: Eukaryota; Fungi.